RNAcentral lists this ribosomal RNA (253 nucleotides) under uncultured bacterium. Its description in RNAcentral is "partial 16S ribosomal RNA". It matches the Rfam family "Bacterial small subunit ribosomal RNA", at positions 524 to 776 of the family's 1533-position model. The record is from RNAcentral.
UACAGAGGUCUCAAGCGUUGUUCGGAAUCACUGGGCUUAAAGGGCGCGUAGGCGGGCGACCAAGUCAGGGGUGAAAUCCCACGGCUCAACCGUGGAAGUGCCUUUGAUACUGGCCGUCUGGAGGGAGGUAGGGGCGUGCGGAACUUCCGGUGGAGCGGUGAAAUGCGUAGAUAUCGGAAGGAACGCCGGUGGCGAAAGCGGCGCGCUGGACCUCUUCUGACGCUGAGGCGCGAAAGCCAGGGGAGCAAACGGG